Molecule: RNA transcript, 2960 nt
Organism: Myotis lucifugus (little brown bat)
Lineage: Eukaryota; Metazoa; Chordata; Mammalia; Chiroptera; Vespertilionidae
Exons: 3
Source: RefSeq, a predicted model, not a curated record
CGCUCACUCACUCAACACUCCCCAGUGCCCGCCAAGCCUGGAAAGGGAGCCGAGGGGCGGGGUCCCCGCUCCGGCCGUGAAGACCGGCUCUCGGAGCUUCAGCCCGGGCCGAGCUGGACACCAGAGACGCCCCAGCAGAGAGGGUCUUUCGGCAAAACGCAGGGGCUCGGUCCACCGACGCCGGGAGCCACGUCCUCCCGCACGCGGCGCCACUCCUCCCAGACGCCUUUGUAAACAACUGUUUGGGCCGGCGAGGGAGUGGCCCAGCCGGGGAGCAGCGAUGAGAGCGGGGCGCGCCCGGAGAACCGCCGCGAGGGGUGGGACGCAGGCCGCGCUAAACCCGCCCGAGGUCCCCGCCGCUUCCUCGCCUCCACCCGCCAUCACCGGGACCCGGCCCGACGCGGGGCGGCGAAGAAGUGCCUGUCAUUUCGAACUCGUGCUGACAGCCUCCGCGCCCGCUUCCCUCACCUGCGGCGGAGUCGGCGUUUUCCUAGCUGCGUCCGGGGCGGGGAAUCUGGCUGGGCCGGCGCCCCGGCGGAGGCGGGGAGAGAUGCGCGGCGGGCGGGGCGGUUCAGCCUCUGCCCCUCAAAGGCCACAUCCCUCGCCGCGCAGCGGGCUGUCCUCCCCGCCGGGUAGCGGCCAGCGCAAUCGCUCCUCUGCGUCGGGAAGCGGGAGGCAGCUUUUCACCUGGAGGCUUAAGCCCAAGGUGGGAGGCGCCAUUUUCUGUACGGAAAGGCAGGGGGCGUGGCUAAGAACAGGGCGGCGCCAUGUUUGUGUACGGAGAGGGGGCGUGGCUCAGAGCGGGGCGGCGCCACGUACGGAGAGUCCGGGGCUGAGGCCGGGUGUUCGCCUCAGGAUGCGAGCGGUGGGAGAGGAGCGCGAGGUAGAGGAGGUGCGGCUUCAGGCAAGUGAAGGAAAAGGGCAGGUCGCCCAGCCGCGCCGCGAUUCCCAGCUUCCCGGCCCAGGUUUCCAAAUGUUUCUUUGAAGACGGACACCCCUAAGAGACCAAACAGACCUACAUUUUAACAAAGAUAAGAAGAUGGAGCAUAAUCAUUUUCUUCACUUGAUGUACAAGACACAGUCUCUACCCUCAGAGGACACAGUCCCUGCUCUUUACCUAUUCAUACCACCUGGAUGAUGAUGUCAAGCUCUGAACAAUAUUCAAUUAAAUAAAGGCCAGUAGCAGAUGUGAGGACAAGAUGUGAAACAUGCCAGAGGAUUUAACUCUUCAUCAGAAAAUAUAAGAAUUCUAAAUCAUUUAAGAUUUAAGAGAAUUUUAUUUAAGGAUUAUAUUUGUCAAAAGAUGUUUUAAGACAUUACGUAAUUACAGAAUUGUCAAGACAAAGAAAAAGGACUAUAUUUAUUAGAUACUAACCAAAUCCUGACAAUAGAUAAAGGUAGAGAACUGUGUUCUGAGUGUUAAAACUGGGCAGCUGUGACUGAGUGGGGAAAAAUUCCUGUACACUGAUUCCAGUAUUGCAACACUUUUACUGCAUAUUGCUUUGGGAGUCCAAAGUUUGUUUUCCUCUUAUAUGUCAUUAGAAUUGUCAUGCAGAAGACUGAGAUUGCUCUGAAAAGAAGGCUGCAGGCAGAUAAAGUAUGUAAAGUAAAUCUCUACUAAUAAGGACAAUUUAAAAAUAUGUUAAGAGAGCUAUCAACAAAAGUAGGCAUUGGCCACUGCUUUAAUUCAUACAGAUUAAUGAGAUAGCAUAUGGGAAGUACUUUGAGCUCCCUGGAAAAGUGAUACCAGGUGAAUUCAAAGAAUUAAGUUACAGUAUAAAGGGAUAGCAGGAUAACAUACCACUUUCUUGUUUGUCUAUAUUAAAAGACAAAUAUCUUUGAAGUACUUACUGAAAGUUAACAUACAGACUUUUCUACACAAAUCAGGUCCCUAGUCGUACAGCCCCUUUAAGGUAUGGCAAAGUUAUUAAUCAGUAGAGAAACAAACGUGCAAGGCUGCUUGCCAGAGCACACAGAAAGGGAAUGGCAAGGAACCAGGAACGGAGGCUCCUAUUACUGUGCUUACUGGGACUGGGACAAGGCAACUAAAGGGUGGAAGAGGUAGGUUGCUAACAAAUGCUAACAGGUAGGUUGCGACUGUAGCAAGCCAAACAAAUGAGAAAAGGCAGUGGGCCCUUUUCUGCCACUGCACCUGGUGUGCAGAGAACAGUGGUCUUGUCCUUGGGUUCAAAUCCACUAAGCAGAACUUCAACUCUUCUUUCUGAAAGUCCUCUACUUAAUUUUGAACACAUAUUCCCUCCCACCCUCUAAGAAUCUGUUCACAAAUGCCCCAAGCUUAGAAUUGGUAUUUCAGUUGUUGGAGAAAAUAGGAUGCCAUAUUUUUAAUUAUGUAAAAUUUGGGAAUUUCUUUCACUCAGAAAGUGAGCCUAAAGAUUUCUCAUGACUAUUUCCAGUAUCAUUUGAUUUUAAAUUCUCAAAUGAUGAAAAGUAUUUUCCUUCAUAAUGUAAAACAAGAAAAAAAUUCUGAAUGUAGAUAUCAUGUGCUUUUCUGAAUCCUUUAAAUUGGAUCAGAAUAGGUCAAUAUUAUGAUUGUUCUUAGAAAAGUACAGAAGAAAAGCAGUUCUUAGUCACAAUUUGUCAUUAACUUUUGAAGAUUAAAAGGAACAUUACUAAUUAUAAGUCAAACACAAGACUGGGGCCACUGAGAUGCACCCAUUUGACCCAAGUCAAUUCACUGACCACUGACACCUGGUUAGCAUUUUACAAAGGAAAAGCUUUUUGUCAGAUAGGAACCAAUUCACCUAACCCCACACUGCAGCUACAGAAAGGGGGAAAAGUUGCAACUUAUCUAAAAGGGGGGAAAAAAAGCCAAGUGUUAUCUGGAUAUCUUAACUAUAUUUUCUGAGUUAUAGAUAUGCUAAAAUGGAAAUUUUGUAACUGAUCACCCGAUUCCGUUUAUUUGGACAUUUAAAGAAACUAGGAUACUAAGCAUAGUGCCC